This 75-nucleotide transfer RNA is filed under the name Clostridiales bacterium. RNAcentral's name for it is "tRNA-Glu". It matches the Rfam family "tRNA". From Rfam's summary of the family: Transfer RNA (tRNA) molecules are approximately 80 nucleotides in length. Their secondary structure includes four short double-helical elements and three loops (D, anti-codon, and T loops). Lineage: Bacteria; Bacillati; Bacillota; Clostridia; Eubacteriales. The record is from RNAcentral.
GGUCCCAUGGUCAAGCGGCUAAGACAUCGCCCUUUCACGGCGGUAACAGGGGUUCGAUUCCCCUUGGGACUACCA